RNAcentral lists this ribosomal RNA (497 nucleotides) under uncultured bacterium. RNAcentral's name for it is "partial 16S ribosomal RNA". It matches the Rfam family "Bacterial small subunit ribosomal RNA", at positions 28 to 507 of the family's 1533-position model. The record is from RNAcentral.
GAUGAACGCUGGCGGCGUGCCUAAUACAUGCAAGUCGAGCGAACAGACGAGGAGCUUGCUCCUUUGACGUUAGCGGCGGACGGGUGAGUAACACGUAGGUAACCUACCUAUAAGACUGGGAUAACUUCGGGAAACCGGAGCUAAUACCGGAUAAUAUUUCGAACCGCAUGGUUCGAUAGUGAAAGAUGGCUUUGCUAUCACUUAUAGAUGGACCUGCGCCGUAUUAGCUAGUUGGUAAGGUAACGGCUUACCAAGGCAACGAUACGUAGCCGACCUGAGAGGGGGAUCGGCCACACUGGAACUGAGACACGGUCCAGACUCCUACGGGAGGCAGCAGUAGGGAAUCUUCCGCAAUGGGCGAAAGCCUGACGGAGCAACGCCGCGUGAGUGAUGAAGGUCUUCGGAUCGUAAAACUCUGUUAUUAGGGAAGAACAAACGUGUAAGUAACUGUGCACGUCUUGACGGUACCUAAUCAGAAAGCCACGGCUAACUACGUG